AAGGAUCAUUAAAGAAAUUUAAUUGAUUUGUCUGAGCUCGGAGAGAGACAUCUCUGGGGAGGACCAGUGUAGACACUCAGGAGGCUCCUAAAAUAUUUUCUCUGCUGUGAAUGCUUAUUUAAUCCUGCCCGCGCUUAAGUGCGCGGUUGGUGGGUGUUCUGCAGUGGGGGGAGGGAGCCGACAAACACCUGGGAGUGUGCGUGGAUCUCUCUAUUCCAAAGGAGGUGUUUUAUCACACCACUCCACACUUUCUAAUUACUACACACAGUGGAUUUUACUUUACUACUAUUCUUUUGUUCGUUGGGGGAACGCUCUCUUUCGGGGGGGAGUUCUCCCAGUGGAUGCAAACACAAACAAAUAUUUUUUUAAAAUAAUUCAGUCAACACAAGAUUUCUUUUAGUA
RNAcentral lists this unclassified non-coding RNA (402 nucleotides) under Nakaseomyces glabratus. RNAcentral describes it as "[Candida] glabrata partial contains 18S rRNA, ITS1, 5.8S rRNA, ITS2 and 28S rRNA". The record is from RNAcentral. Lineage: Eukaryota; Fungi; Ascomycota; Saccharomycetes; Saccharomycetales; Saccharomycetaceae.